AUAUAUAUAUAUAUAUAUAUAUAUAUAUAUAUAUCAUUUUUUUUGUUAACAUAGAGAACCAAUAUGCACUUAUCUACCAAUCCACUCCUCGGAUUGCCAAACCAGUUUUGCCGGGAAAUCGGCCAAUUCAUACGUCAACAGGGGCUAACGGUCCCGAUCAGUACAUAAACAUGUUACAUGUGCGAAAACAUACAUCAAUUAGGAUAAAAUUCAAUUUUCCAUACAUAAACUUACAAAAUUGGGUUUUAACAUACAUUGACCUGAUUUCCGUUAGUCAGACAUUACGGAAUAAGAGUUUUCGUUAACCGGUAACAUGAAAUUGACCAAUUCCUACAUCAACAGGGGUCAACGUUCCCGAUCAAUACAAUUACACUGUACAUAUGCGAAAACAUACAUCAACUAAUACAAUUUUUAAAUUAAAUACAUGAACUUUCGAAAUCUGGUUUUAACAUACACUAACAUAAUUUUCACUAGUCAAACAUUACUGAAGAUAAAUUGUAUGUUAUGUAUUGAUUAAGUGAAAUUUUUAUUGUAUUAUGUGGUAAUUAAACCAUAUUACGUAGUAAUUGACUAAGAAAAAUAAAUUAUUUAGGCCAAACGAUUUAGUUCUCGUGUAAAUAAUUAGUUAGAUUCUCUUUAACUUUUUUUUUUGUUUUUUUAUCUUUUUCGGCAAAAGACCUAACACGGAGAAGACAAUAGAGGAAAAAAUCGAACAUAAAAACGGGAAUGUCUAACCUAUCGAACAAAAGAAGAAUUAGGAUUGGAUAAGCUAAACAUUCUUGUUUUUCUCUAUGCGAUUUUGUUCUCUGUUGUCUUCUUUGUAUUAGGUUUUUUGCCGAAAAAGUCGAAGAACAAAAAGUUAAAGAGAAAAGCUAACUAAUGAGUUACACAAGAACAAAAUCGUUUGGUCUAAAUGAUUUAUUUUUCUCAGUCAAUUACCACAUAAAACAAUUUAAUUAGAACGAAAUCAUUUGGCCUAAAUGAUUUAUAUUUCUUUGUCAAUUACCACUUAAUACGGUUUAUUUACCACAUAAUACAAUAAAAACCUCACUUAAUCAACACGUGACAUAUAAUUUAUCUUCGGUAAUAUUGGACUAGUAAAAAUUAUGUUAGUGUAUGUUAGUUAAAACCAGAUUUCAAAAGUUCAUGUAUUUAAUUUAAAAAUUGUAUUAGUUGAUGUAUGUUUUCGCACAUGUAAAGUGUUUAUGUAUUGAUCGAAAACGUUGACCCCUGUUGAUGUAGGAAUUGGCCAAUUUCAUGUUAUCGGUUAACGAAAACUCUUAUUCCGUAACGUUUGACUAACAGAAAUCAGGGUAAUGUAUGUUAAAACCCAAUUUUAUAAGUUCAUGUAUAGAAAAUUGAAUUUUAUCCUAGUUGAUGUAUGUUUUCGCACAUGUAACGUGUUUAUGUACUAAUCGGGACCGUUACCCCUUAUUGACGUAUGAAUUGGUCGAUUUCCCAGUUUUGCCCAAGGGACCGAAUUCAUUUUAAUCCGAUUACUCUCCCAAACCUUCUUGGCAGAGAAAAUAUUCCCUUUCUUUCCAUUGACAUAUCAAAUCAGAAAAUCAGAAGCAGUAGAAGGGGAUAUGGUAGAGAUAAAAGCGAGAAUCUGAAGUUGCUGAUUCGAUCUCGCCGGUGACAUUCUCCAAUCAGAAUCAGUGAUGCAGUCACAGACAAGAGGAUUUACUGGAAUACUCCAAUCCGUAGGAUCCAUAGGACCAAGGUAUUCUAUAAGAGGUCCGAAAGGUGUCCAGGGUCUCACCAAAAAUAAGUUUCACCUCCUCCCCGAACCAUAAUUUGCAGGAAGGGAUAGAUGUCAAAUUUUAACUGUUCAACAACAUAUUUUUCAAAGAUAUCAAGAAAUGGACCGGGCCACAAUACGAGGGAAAGCUAAAUGAGGUCGUCGAGGCCGCAGGUACCAAACUCCCUAGUGAUUUGCUCCUUCCUUUUCCUUCUCUUGUUUCAGUAAGCUUAUGUAUGUCAGUUUCUUUGUAUAUUCUAAGUUUUUGCUUAGCAGAUUAUGGGCUUGCCUCAUCGUACUUUCUCAAACUCUAAGGUUGAAAAGUCAUAUCUUGUAUGUUUUAUAUCUUUUAAUUUGAAUGUCUAUUUUCAAAAGAAAAAACAAUAUAUUUUUCAGAGCAUAUGGUAUUAGAAAAAUGAAACGAUCCCUUUCAGAAGUGAUCUAGUUGAGAAAAAAAAAAGUGUGUCUAAUAAUCUAAGUCAAAACGAUUUACAAUGGUUCAGGAGUAAAUUUUUUAAUAUUUAUAAAGUCAAAAGUCUUUAAUCAAGACCAAAAUAAAUUGAUUUCUUUCCCUAAUUAUAAAUCAUAAUAUAGAACUAAACCAAAUUAUAUUUUCUUAUAAAAAAUACAAUUCUUAUUUUAAAAUAAGUAAAUAUCAGUAGCUUCAAAGGAAAAACAAUAUACAAAUGUACAAAUGCACAGACUGAAUACAUGAUUCAACGUUACAUAAAUAUUCAGUCACCUCUUCAUAUAUUUUUACAUUUUUGUCAACACCAAUAAAUACGGAACCACUAUGCACGUAUCUAACAAUCCAAUCAACCAAAAUUACAUAACGAUGGUUUUCUCUAAUAAGCUUCAUUGCCUAUUGAUGUUUAUGAUCUCAUCUUUUACUCUUAUUAUUUUUGCAUCAGCGUUAGAUGUCUCAAACGUAGUGAAGGAUGCAGGAACAUCAAAAUCAGGCGAUGAUACGUUGUUACCUUUAGCAAGAAAGUAUGUUGUAAUCCACAACACUAUAGAGAACAAGCAAAGUCUGAAUGUACAUUGCAAAUCAAGGGAGGAUGAUUUGGGGAUGAUCCAUAUCCCUUGGAACCAUUACUGGAGUUUCAGAUUUCAUGUUAAUAUUUCGAAAACUACGAAUUAUCGUUGCCAAUUUUCGUGGUAUGGAGGCGGAUCUCACUAUUUUGAUAUAUUUAAAGUAUCAAGAGACGAUACUCAAUUUGGUAAGGUUCCAAUCUGUAAAGAAUGCAUUUGGGAGGUGAGAAAAGAGUCAAGAGAUGGUAAAUCCUCUAUAUGUCGUAUAAAUCGCAAUGGAUAUCCUCAUUACUGUUUCGGAUGGGACAAUGAAUAGUCUGUAAGGAAUAUUUUAUUGCUAUUACUGUGUAUCGUUUAAUAGAUAUUACGAAAUAAAAAUGAAUUAAUAAUAGGAUUCUUCCUAAUGUUCGAAUGUUUCCACAUAAACAAACUAAUUCGAUGGGUUUGAUUCAGAGCUCCCAUAUAGUCAUAUCUAGAGAAACUUGGUGAUCAAGUAAAUCAGCCACCCAAAUUUAUCAAAAAGAUGAUAUAGAACAACAACAUUCGAAGGGUAUACAGUAAUAGACUAGAAGUAAUAUUUUUCAUAGCUUAAUGUUGGACGGUUAAUAUAAAAUUUUAGCUGUAAAUAUCCGUUGUAGGGGCAUCUUCAACCUGUGAUACUAUUUUAGUAUCAAAAUUACACCAUUUUAAAGUAUUUUAGCAUUAAAAUUUUUGACUCUCCAACCACAACACCAAAUACUACACUAAAAAUAAAUACUUUCCAUUAUUAUAUUAUUAAUCAAGAUUCUUUUUUUUAUAAAUACUAAUUAUUUUUUGAUAAAAGCUAUUAAUUAACAGUAAAACUAUAAUAAAAUAAUAUUUCUAUUUCAAAAUAUUACCUGAUCGAGUUAUAAAGAGGUUGAUAGUGCUUUCAAAGUGAUGUAAGAUCUCUCUACAGCUUAAAUUAUUUUUACAGCCCAAAUUUUUGCCAAUCAUAGUUUGUAAAGAUUCUUUAAAGCUAAAGAUUUUUUUUUCUUUUUUAUUUAUUUUUUGCUGUGGAAAGCCAUAGAAUCUAUAACAUUUAUUUUUUGCUUUAGAAAAUUUAUAUGAAAGUCACUGAAUCUUUUUAAACCUACAACUAAUAUUUUACAGCAAAGUUAUCUACAGUCACAGCAAAAAAAAAAUCUAUAGUUUUAUUUCUAAAGAAAAAAAUAUAAAACUACAGUUCAUUCUAAUCAUCCCCAAAAUAGUAAUACAAAUCUUAAGUAAUCAAUUUUAAUUAGACAAUAUUUAAAUAAACAGUUUUGAUUUCACCAAAAAAAACAGUUCAAAAAAAAAUAUUUGUCGUUACUAUAGUGUGUCACUGUUGGAAAUAAAGGAUUCUAUUAAUAUAUAGAAGAGCUGAACUCUCUUCUCCUCUUACCACCUAAGUAAAUAAUGCAACUAGGUGAUGCCACUUGUCUCACUCCACAAAAGUCACUAGGUAGAGUCAACUCUAAUCUUCGCUUCACGUCGUCUUACAUAAGUUUAGGGUUCGUCUUUGUUCUUCGUUCAAUCGCGACCUCUGAACUUCGUCUCCAUCACCGAAACGGUCUAUGUUACAGAAUCUCGGUGUGUUAAAUCUCCUAUUAAUUCAAUCAAUCACGGUGUAAUUUAGCUUCAGCUUCUUUUGUGAAACCUUCUUAAUUUUGUUUCAGGCGACUAUUAUGCCAGCCACCACAAGUGCUAACCGGGUUCAAAUCUUAUCUUCAAGCGCAUGCGAGAAAGAAAUAGAGUUCGAGCCGGAAGAUCAUCAGCCAAGAAGUUCUGUCAAGGCUCAGCUGUCAGGGAGGAAGCGGCUGGUUGGAGGAAACUCAAGCAACAUGAGUUCGAAGGGAGCCAAGAAAAUCUAUAAACAAGUUUAAGGAGAAGCUUCAGACUAUGAGGAGGAAAUAUACAACUACAUAAAUUACGGGUGAACAAGCUUCUGCUUCGAAUCGUCAUCAACAAAAGUACUUUCAGUUGUCAACUUACGUUAAAGUUCUAUUUUCUUCAGUUAUCUUUUGAUUUUUCCAUUUUGUUUUUACUUAACUGAUAAUUUUCUGUUUUAAGUUUAUCUAAUAGAUAGUUGAUGUUCAAAGAUCUUUAUCAUUGAUUUAAUUAUGCUAAAUUUUUGGUAUCUGGUACGUAGUGAUAUGUACUACGUAUGUUAGACAAUUUAUUACACUAGGUCAAAUAUCCGGGUUUUGCGGAGAAUAAACAUUAUGUACACAAAUUAUUUUUAAGUAUUUUAUUUAUUUUGUAUUUAUUUACGUUUUAUGAAAUAAUAAAUCUAAAUUAUAAUGAGACAUUUUGUUCAUUCCUUUGUGUGCCAUGUCAACAUUUUGUAGAUUCUACUUUUAAAAAGUGUUAAAAAAUGUUAGAUUCGGGUUAUUGAGAUAUAAACACCAACACUUAUACCACUAAACUAAAUGAUACUUUGUACAUUGAUAGCCGAAACUAAUAUAUAUUUAUGAAAGUUGGAAGUCCUUACUUCUUCGGCUUCCUCUGAGGACCGGGCAUACAAGUGUAUUAUGAGUUUCAUUUUUAAAGGGAAUUCAUCACAUUAUAUGAAAAAAAAACUCAAGUUUGCAACAAUUAUAGUUUUCCCAUAUUGUAAACUGUCGUCGUUAAACAUGAGCUAGGGUUCUUUUCAUCAUUGUCUCAGACAAGUCUGAGUUACAUAGUUGUGCCGUGUGUCUGUUCGUAAUCUAUUUUUUCACCGGUGAACUCUUCAUCUCCCCAUCUUAAAUCGCUUGAUCAUAAAUGUUACUGAUUUGUAGCCCCUCCGUAAACCCUAUAUAUCUAUGAUUCUCAUCUUUGAUGAACUCAAUCUGCAUCUCCGCAAAACUCAUUGAUUCCUCUUAGCUUUAAUCAUCUUCUAGAAAAUGUCUCUCUCUGCCUUUCCAGUUCCUCAAAUCGGCGUCCCCGGCAUCCGACACUCAACCUUCGAGUCUCUCAUUCGCUUCUGGGAUUCCCUAAACUUCAAGAAAGACAGUGAAUUUAUGGGAAUCACGGUUCUCUUCCUUGAUGAAAAAGUAAGUUAAUCUUCGAUCUAUCACACUUAUGUAACAUAAUUGUUUUUAAUUGAUUUUAUGAUUCUUUGUUGAAUAAUAUUAUUUGCAGAUUCCGUGAUUUAUGGGUUUAUUCCCUGACGUGCUAAUUAUUACAUGUCAUCUUUGAAAGCCUAUUCCAUUAUGAAAGUCGAUCGUUUUGAGGUUGAUAGGUGCUUAAGUUUGUACAAGAUAACUGAUCAUUCAUUCCUCAUUCGUUUCAUCUCACCAACCAUUAUUGAUGAAGUCAUCACAUGUGCUCCUGAGAACAAUCUCCAGUCAUGAUUAGACUGUUUGACAAUCUCCAAGUGACUGCGAACACAAACCUAGAACUCCCAGGUAUAUUAUCAUAUUGCAUCUGAGUUUAUAUUAUGUUUCAAUAUCAUAACUGAUAUUUAAACUCGCAGAUGUGGUUGGACAAAUCAUGUUAUGUUCAAGGCUCUGACUUCACCAAAGAAACAACUCGAUUCGUUAUUCGUCUCCUCAUUGAUCCGUAAGAAACAAUCAACACAUAAUUUCCUUUAUAUUACUGUCUAUAUUGUGCUAACAUCAAUAAUCAAAAAUAUUUCCUACCCAAGAUAUGUGGUCGUUUAUUUAUUUCUCUUACUUUUUUUUUUGGUCAAAAAAGAAAAGGAAAAAAAAAACUAAUUUUACACAAAACUUUAUUUUACAGCUUAAAAGAAACCACAACAACCCAAACAAUCAAAACACUAAAAAUUAGAAUU
This is a long non-coding RNA of Brassica rapa (field mustard), 6548 nucleotides long. RefSeq lists it as uncharacterized. NCBI's taxonomy places the organism in Eukaryota, Viridiplantae, Streptophyta, Magnoliopsida, Brassicales, Brassicaceae. The record is from RefSeq and is a predicted model, not a curated record.